RNAcentral lists this microRNA precursor (116 nucleotides) under Triticum aestivum (bread wheat). RNAcentral describes it as "mir-399 microRNA precursor family". It matches the Rfam family "mir-399 microRNA precursor family". Rfam says of the family: mir-399 was identified in both Arabidopsis thaliana and Oryza sativa computationally and was later experimentally verified. mir-399 is thought to target mRNAs coding for a phosphatase transporter. The mature sequence is excised from the 3' arm of the hairpin. RNAcentral also lists the same sequence under 2 other names. Lineage: Eukaryota; Viridiplantae; Streptophyta; Magnoliopsida; Poales; Poaceae. The record is from Rfam by way of RNAcentral.
AGCUGAAUUGCUGGGCAGGGUCUCCUUUGGCAGAUGGUGGCGCCGUCAGACACCAGGGUGUGUCGGUGGUUGCCGGCCGGGCUGCUGCCAAAGGAAAUUUGCCCCGGAAUUCAUCU